UACGCCUGCUCAUGCAUUAGUAAUAGCCGCAGUAUUCUGACUGUGCUAAGGUAGCAUAAUCAUUAGUCUCUUAAUUAGAGGCUGGUAUGAAUGGUGAGACGAGAAAAAAGCUGUCUCUAAAAUAAUUUUUGAAUUUUAUUUUUAAGUGAAAAAGCUUAAAUGAAUUUGGGGGACGAUCAGACCCUUUGGAGCUUUAUUAUUUUGGAGUUUUAGGUUACUUUUGAUAACAAAAAUUUUAUUGUAAUUUUGUUGGGGCGACAAAAAGUAAAAAAGACCACUUUUUUAAAAAAACAUAAAUAUAUGGAAAAUUGAUCCCUAUUGAAGGAUUAAAAGACUAAGUUACCCUAGGGAUAACAGCGUAAUCUUUUUGGAGAGUUCAUAUCGAUAAAAAGGUUUGCGACCUCGAUGUUGGAUUAAGAAAUUAGCAAGGUGCAGAAGUUUUGCUGGAGAGUCUGUUCGACUUUUAAUUUCUUACGUGAUCUU
RNAcentral lists this ribosomal RNA (483 nucleotides) under Daphnia parvula. RNAcentral describes it as "partial 16S ribosomal RNA". It matches the Rfam family "Bacterial large subunit ribosomal RNA", at positions 1854 to 2607 of the family's 2925-position model. Lineage: Eukaryota; Metazoa; Arthropoda; Branchiopoda; Diplostraca; Daphniidae. The record is from RNAcentral.